RNAcentral lists this non-coding RNA (48 nucleotides) under Schistosoma bovis. The record is from RNAcentral. Lineage: Eukaryota; Metazoa; Platyhelminthes; Trematoda; Strigeidida; Schistosomatidae. RNAcentral also lists the same sequence under 1 other name.
AUUCAGCUGACGAGUCUUAAAUAGGACAGAACGCGCGUCAAACUGGAU